UAUUGAUCUGCUCCCAUCCAUCCACCCACUGGUGCCUUGCUGAAUUUGGCCUGCUCAUGCCCUGCAAACAGAUGGCCAUGCUUGAGAUCCCAAAAACAAGAUGCUGCCCUGCUGUGACGCCUGAAGCUAAGCAAGCCAGUAAGAUUAAUAACGAGCUGUCCCUCCCCAAAGGCAGGGCAAAGAAAAAAAAUACACUGUUUGCAGAGGAUACUUGAUCAGUGA
Molecule: long non-coding RNA, 222 nt
Organism: Trichomycterus rosablanca
Lineage: Eukaryota; Metazoa; Chordata; Actinopteri; Siluriformes; Trichomycteridae
Exons: 3
Source: RefSeq, a predicted model, not a curated record